CAACACUUCAGCCCAUCCCAUCCAACCCACCCAUGUCAUAGGCAACUCCGCUCUCUCCCCCCAGCAUUGCUCAAGGCCUGCUACUCCCAUGCAUGCCCCACCUAAGUGCAGGAUGUGGCUUAUGCUCCUGGAUCUCAUCCAUGCUCAGCCACAGCAUAUCCCCCUUUUCCAAAGACCGAAAGCAUUGGGGCAUAUGUGAGAAGGAUCUAGAAAACCGACAGGGGUUCAGUAAUCCCAGCAGCCCAACAGACUGGCAUGACAGCACGACAGCUGAUAUUGCAUUGAUGAAAACUCCACUCUGCUGCCAGGGAGUGAGGAAGUGGCUCUUCUCCCCAGAACCUCGCUCUGCCCAGGUGUUUCGGACCCGCCCGCCCCAUCCAGGCGCGGUACUGCCGCAGCGAGGACUUUGCCUAGCGAAAACUUGCGAAUCCGGCGUUCCUCCGA
Molecule: long non-coding RNA, 444 nt
Organism: Lagopus leucura (white-tailed ptarmigan)
Lineage: Eukaryota; Metazoa; Chordata; Aves; Galliformes; Phasianidae
Exons: 3
Source: RefSeq, a predicted model, not a curated record